This 1290-nucleotide ribosomal RNA is filed under the name Salmonella enterica subsp. diarizonae. Its description in RNAcentral is "partial 23S ribosomal RNA". It matches the Rfam family "Bacterial large subunit ribosomal RNA", at positions 1 to 1221 of the family's 2925-position model. The record is from RNAcentral. Lineage: Bacteria; Pseudomonadati; Pseudomonadota; Gammaproteobacteria; Enterobacterales; Enterobacteriaceae.
GGGUUGUGAGGUUAAGCGACCAAGCGUACACGGUGGAUGCCCUGGCAGUCAGAGGCGAUGAAGGACGUGCUAAUCUGCGAAAAGCGCCGGUAAGGUGAUAUGAACCGUUAUAACCGGCGAUGUCCGAAUGGGGAAACCCAGUGUGACUCGUCACACUAUCAUUAACUGAAUCCAUAGGUUAAUGAGGCGAACCGGGGGAACUGAAACAUCUAAGUACCCCGAGGAAAAGAAAUCAACCGAGAUUCCCCCAGUAGCGGCGAGCGAACGGGGAGGAGCCCGGAGUCUGAAUCAGCAUGUGUGUUAGUGGAAGCGUCUGGAAAGGCGCGCGAUACAGGGUGAGAGCCCCGUACACAAAAGCGCACAUGCUGUGAGCUCGAUGAGUAGGGCGGGACACGUGGUAUCCUGUCUGAAUAUGGGGGGACCAUCCUCCAAGGCUAAAUACUCCUGACUGACCGAUAGUGAACCAGUACCGUGAGGGAAAGGCGAAAAGAACCCCGGCGAGGGGAGUGAAACAGAACCUGAAACCGUGUACGUACAAGCAGUGGGAGCCCCACCACUAAGCCAGUGGUGAACUCCACAUACGCAUCCUUUGCGGAAGAUGCGGUUAACGGAGCGAAAGCGACGUUCAACCUCAGAAGAAGCAGAGGGGGCUUAGUGGUGGGGUGACUGCGUACCUUUUGUAUAAUGGGUCAGCGACUUAUAUUCUGUAGCAAGGUUAACCGCAUAGGGGAGCCGAAGGGAAACCGAGUCUUAAUUGGGCGUUAAGUUGCAGGGUAUAGACCCGAAACCCGGUGAUCUAGCCAUGGGCAGGUUGAAGGUUGGGUAACACUAACUGGAGGACCGAACCGACUAAUGUUGAAAAAUUAGCGGAUGACCUGUGGCUGGGGGUGAAAGGCCAAUCAAACCGGGAGAUAGCUGGUUCUCCCCGAAAGCUAUUUAGGUAGCGCCUCGUGAACUCAUCUCCGGGGGUAGAGCACUGUUUCGGCUAGGGGGCCAUCCCGGCUUACCAACCCGAUGCAAACUGCGAAUACCGGAGAAUGUUAUCACGGGAGACACACGGCGGGUGCUAACGUCCGUCGUGAAGAGGGAAACAACCCAGACCGCCAGCUAAGGUCCCAAAGUCAUGGUUAAGUGGGAAACGAUGUGGGAAGGCCCAGACAGCCAGGAUGUUGGCUUAGAAGCAGCCAUCAUUUAAAGAAAGCGUAAUAGCUCACUGGUCGAGUCGGCCUGCGCGGAAGAUGUAACGGGGCUAAACCAUGCACCGAAGCUGCGGCAGCGACACUUUAGUGU